GCCGGGAUGGCGGAAUUGGUUUACGCGCACGACUCAAAAUCGUGUGAGCUUACGCUCGUGUGGGUUCGAGUCCCACUCCCGGCACCA
This 87-nucleotide transfer RNA is filed under the name bacterium. Its description in RNAcentral is "tRNA-Leu". It matches the Rfam family "tRNA". From Rfam's summary of the family: Transfer RNA (tRNA) molecules are approximately 80 nucleotides in length. Their secondary structure includes four short double-helical elements and three loops (D, anti-codon, and T loops). The record is from RNAcentral. RNAcentral also lists the same sequence under 1 other name.